UUGAUCAAGAAGGAGAGUGUCUAGAGUAAUGGAUGUUGUAUUUGCCCAUGGAAAGCAUAAGUGGGCCAAAAAGAGAGUGGGUUUGCAAGUAUAUAAGCACACAUCCCCCUUGCUCCUUGUUCCACAUUGACAGAGACAAGAUAACUGAUCCCUAGAGCUAGCCUGGUAGCCAGAAAUGAAAAGCUCUGAAGGCCCCUUCUUAGUGAGCUGUGCAAAAAGAACCUUUAGUCAAAGGUAGUGUCAGAAGUCCCAUGGUCCCAGAGUCAGUUCUCACCCUCUUUUCUUUCCACCCUACUCCCAGGAUUCAGAAGUGAAGACUAGAUCAGAUAGAAGAGACUGAGUGUAUCCUGGCCAGUGGUUAUGGCCAGUGGUUAUGGAGGUGAUUCUGAUCUGA
Molecule: non-coding RNA, 394 nt
Organism: Mastomys coucha (southern multimammate mouse)
Lineage: Eukaryota; Metazoa; Chordata; Mammalia; Rodentia; Muridae
Product: small Cajal body-specific RNA 2
Exons: 1
Source: RefSeq, a predicted model, not a curated record